This 468-nucleotide ribosomal RNA is filed under the name uncultured bacterium. RNAcentral describes it as "partial 16S ribosomal RNA". It matches the Rfam family "Bacterial small subunit ribosomal RNA", at positions 28 to 507 of the family's 1533-position model. The record is from RNAcentral.
AACGAACGCUGGCGGCGUGCUUAACACAUGCGAGUCGAACGGAAAGGCCCUGCUUUUGUGGGGUGCUCGAGUGGCGAACGGGUGAGUAACACGUGAGUAACCUGCCCUUGACUUUGGGAUAACUUCAGGAAACUGGGGCUAAUACCGGAUAGGAGCUCCUGCUGCAUGGUGGGGGUUGGAAAGUUUCGGCGGUUGGGGAUGGACUCGCGGCUUAUCAGCUUGUUGGUGGGGUAGUGGCUUACCAAGGCUUUGACGGGUAGCCGGCCUGAGAGGGUGACCGGCCACAUUGGGACUGAGAUACGGCCCAGACUCCUACGGGAGGCAGCAGUGGGGAAUAUUGCACAAUGGGCGGAAGCCUGAUGCAGCAACGCCGCGUGCGGGAUGACGGCCUUCGGGUUGUAAACCGCUUUCGCCUGUGACGAAGCGUGAAUGACGGUAAUGGGUAAAGAAGCACCGGCUAACUACGUG